Capsicum annuum is the source of this 699-nucleotide long non-coding RNA. RefSeq lists it as uncharacterized. The transcript has 4 exons. Lineage: Eukaryota; Viridiplantae; Streptophyta; Magnoliopsida; Solanales; Solanaceae. The record is from RefSeq and is a predicted model, not a curated record.
UUCAGGUACAUCGAAUGAACAAUACACUCUGGCAUAUGAACAAACUGUAACAGAAGAUAUUCAACGUCAAUUAUGUAUGAAUAUAUCGCGCGAUAAUCCCAAAAAAGGAAAAGAUAUAUGCAGCCCCUUCGUGGUUUAUGAAAUAGGAGGCACAUCCGACCGACCAACAUCAUCUUGGUUCAACACAACACUCGCAGAACAAACUCCUCUUGCCAUAGAAGAACCACCUCCACUUUACGAAAUAGCUACCUGCUAUCAACCAUGUGUGAACAGGAUGUGCAAUGAUCUAGAAAAAAGAAAGAAAAUACGCAGCCCCGUUGUGAUUUACGAAACAGGUAACUUUAUCAUUGCAUUAUUUUUUAUGACUAUCACAUAUUAUCUCUGCACUAUUGUAAUGUAUGCCUACUUGGAUAUAAAGGAGCAUAUCCAACAUAUCUAAACAUGUUCAGGCCCUGAAUAUAGUCCCCAAUAAAGGUUUGCUCAAUUUUGCAUUAGAAUCAUGUCCACUUUUCUCCCGUAUCUGUAUCACUUUUCUCCCGUAUCUGUACCCUAUUCACUCUAAUUACACAUCAUAAACUUCAGAUAGUAGGCGAACAAAAAGGGUGUGCCUCGCCACAACUGAUCAAGAACAUGAAUAUGCCAUUUUAAAAAAAGUUCCCAAUUGUCAAUAUUGUGAUGCAAAAAAGUUUGAAUACAAAU